This 497-nucleotide ribosomal RNA is filed under the name uncultured bacterium. RNAcentral's name for it is "partial 16S ribosomal RNA". It matches the Rfam family "Bacterial small subunit ribosomal RNA", at positions 28 to 507 of the family's 1533-position model. The record is from RNAcentral.
GACGAACGCUGGCGGCGUGCCUAAUACAUGCAAGUUGAGCGAUGAAGAUUGGUGCUUGCCCCAAUUUGAAGAGCAGCGAACGGGUGAGUAACGCGUGGGGAAUCUGCCUUUGAGCGGGGGACAACAUUUGGAAACGAAUGCUAAUACCGCAUAACAACUUUAAACAUAAGUUUUAAGUUUGAAAGAUGCAAUUGCAUCACUCAAAGAUGAUCCCGCGUUGUAUUAGCUAGUUGGUGAGGUAAAGGCUCACCAAGGCGAUGAUACAUAGCCGACCUGAGAGGGUGAUCGGCCACAGUGGGACUGAGACACGGCCCAAACGCCUACGGGAGGCAGCAGGAGGGAAUCUUCGGCAAUGGACGAAAGUCUGACCGAGCAACGCCGCGUGAGUGAAGAAGGUUUUCGGAUCGUAAAACUCGGUUGGUAGAGAAGAACGUUGGUGAGAGUGGAAAGCUCAUCAAGUGACGGUAACUACCCAGAAAGGGACGGCUAACUACGUG